GGGGGUGACACGGUCUCGACGGGGGUGAGUCCCGGCGUGACCUGCGAGCCGUGGUUCGUCGGUUGGCCACGUUAAAAGCCGACGAAACGAUAGUUGCCAACGACAACUUCGCUCUGGCCGCUUAAUUAAGUGACCACGUCCGUCCGGUUUUUGUCCGCGGAUCCGGAACGGGCGACAUUUAGCGGGCUGGCCGACUCAAGAUACCGGUUCGAGAGAAGGCGAGAUUCAGUCCGGUCAGGGUGCCGACGAGCCUGCCCAUGGGCGCGGCGGUUCCGACAUCAAACCAUGAGGCUACGCUCGUAGACGGCCGACCGGUCCACCUUCGGACGCGGGUUCGACUCCCGCCACCUCCACCA
RNAcentral lists this transfer-messenger RNA (356 nucleotides) under Deltaproteobacteria bacterium. It matches the Rfam family "transfer-messenger RNA". Rfam says of the family: Bacterial tmRNA, also known as 10Sa RNA or SsrA, is named for its dual tRNA and mRNA-like properties. The record is from RNAcentral. Lineage: Bacteria; Pseudomonadati; Myxococcota; Myxococcia.